Molecule: long non-coding RNA, 630 nt
Organism: Haplochromis burtoni (Burton's mouthbrooder)
Lineage: Eukaryota; Metazoa; Chordata; Actinopteri; Cichliformes; Cichlidae
Exons: 2
Source: RefSeq, a predicted model, not a curated record
UCCAGUUUCAGGUGAAUACGUCUUGAUUGGCAUGGUCGCCAUUAGCUCAAAGGCAUACGAGCAACAUGGAGCUCUGCUGAGAAGCAUUGGAAGCCGACAAGAAGACCAAGCCAUGUGCUCAAGGGUCAGCAAAAGCAUAUCCAGUCAUCGCUGCUAUUUUUGUUUAUAAAGACACACAUGCAUUGUCCGUUGGGUGGAAAAAGAAAAAAGCAUAAACUGCAGCAGAGCGGUUGUAUGAUUAAGCACAUACUUUAUCUGUGCUGUGCCAGUUGCAGCAAUGCUGAAAAUGGUUCAGCAACUAGAGAGGGAAAUAUUUUUUGCACUAGGCAGGAAACAAAAAAAGAACAGGCACGUUUCAGUUCCAGGAAAAUGCUGUUUGGGUUUGUUAUUUUUUUGUACUGCUGGAGAUUUUUUUUUUUGUGCUGGUAAAAAUAUUGAAUAUAAAGUUAACAACCCCUUAAAAAGAACCUCUAAAUUUAUCAAACCAAAUGGGAAAAUUAUAUUUUACUCUUGACCACAAAAAUGGCAUGAAAGCAGUAGAACAAACUACAUCCACAUCCACCUCAGUUUAAUUUAUGAGUUUAGUCGUAUGUAUGAUGCAAGCAACCCAAUAAAGAAACUCAGCCUGCA